GCUGGGGGAGACAGGGGGGAAGAGGACCCGGAGUAGCCAGCGGCCCAAGAAAGGCGCCACGGGGGGGGGGGGGUGCGUUCUUGCCCCCCUCCCCCACUGCUACCACACGCAGCGGCGCACGCGCAACGCCAGCUCUCAUCUCCUCCCUCCCCGAAACCGCACAACUGGCCACUCUCUUGCCUACUCACUGGCUGAUGCUCCGUAAACACGGAGCAGCUACUCAAGGUCCAUUGGCUAGGAAGCCUACCCAUCAAACAUUGGUUUUUCGGCCAAUCAUCGUCGUCGAAAGCGGUUGCCGCCCUCUAACGCCUUCCAGCCCCCUUCCCUUCAAUUGACGUGAUCUGCUGCAACUGACGCCACCCCUAACCCAGUAAAAGUAGAUAGUCGGGCACGCCCUGGCUGUCAUAGUGUGUUAGUGACCCCUAAUCUUGGGGUGACAGUGCCUGGACUCCUCCAAAAGUAGAUACGCAAGAGCAAAACGAAUUUGGGUUCAUUAGAAAAAGCAACAGUCUAAAAAGGAAUGAAGUAUUCUGGUCCUAAAAGACCUGGCAGGUGUCUCCAUUUUUCAAGACAUGGAACAAAGAAUCGUGCAUAAGAUAUUCCAAGGGGGGCCUUGUUCUCCACUCCACAUUUCUCCACCAGCUCCCUCGCAAACUUAUUAUUCAUCCUCACUGUCCACUUUGCUAGAUAAGAGCUGGUCUAUACAAAUAAAAAUAUAUAUAUA
Monodelphis domestica (gray short-tailed opossum) is the source of this 724-nucleotide long non-coding RNA. RefSeq lists it as uncharacterized. The record is from RefSeq and is a predicted model, not a curated record. NCBI's taxonomy places the organism in Eukaryota, Metazoa, Chordata, Mammalia, Didelphimorphia, Didelphidae.